AUGCCGUAAUAAUGCAACGAUUAUUGGAACAUGCAUUGACCCUCUCUAUCUUUGCUGCAAACAUUGAGUUACGCAAUGGAUUUCUGAACUGCGCCCAGAAACGAAGAAGACAUCUACUGAAAUUUCCUAGGCAUUACCCGGGCACACAUCGAUGGAUUCCUCGCAUCCUGCUUCCUUUCCUCCAGUAAAAUCUUAUUUUAGCA
Molecule: long non-coding RNA, 203 nt
Organism: Podarcis raffonei (Aeolian wall lizard)
Lineage: Eukaryota; Metazoa; Chordata; Lepidosauria; Squamata; Lacertidae
Exons: 2
Source: RefSeq, a predicted model, not a curated record